GACGAACGCUGGCGGCGUGCUUAACACAUGCAAGUCGAACGGAAAGGCCCAGCUUGCUGGGUGCUCGAGUGGCGAACGGGUGAGUAACACGUGGGUGAUCUGCCCCUAACUUCGGGAUAAGCUUGGGAAACUGGGUCUAAUAACGGAUAGGACAAUCGUUUAGUGUCGGUUGUGGAAAGUUUUUUCGGUUAGGGAUGAGCCCGCGGCCUAUCAGCUUGUUGGUGGGGUAAUGGCCUACCAAGGCGUCGACGGGUAGCCGGCCUGAGAGGGUGGACGGCCACAUUGGGACUGAGAUACGGCCCAGACUCCUACGGGAGGCAGCAGUGGGGAAUAUUGCACAAUGGGCGCAAGCCUGAUGCAGCGACGCCGCGUGGGGGAUGACGGCCUUCGGGUUGUAAACCUCUUUCGACAGGGACGAAGCUUUGGUGACGGUACCUGUAUAAGAAGCACCGGCUAACUACGUG
This 464-nucleotide ribosomal RNA is filed under the name uncultured bacterium. RNAcentral describes it as "partial 16S ribosomal RNA". It matches the Rfam family "Bacterial small subunit ribosomal RNA", at positions 28 to 507 of the family's 1533-position model. The record is from RNAcentral.